RNAcentral lists this transfer RNA (64 nucleotides) under Popenaias popeii. RNAcentral's name for it is "tRNA-Arg". Lineage: Eukaryota; Metazoa; Mollusca; Bivalvia; Unionida; Unionidae. The record is from RNAcentral.
AAGCAAGAAACUACAAAGUAUUAUGGUUUCGGCCCAAAAACAGGUAUACCUAUACCCUUGCUUU